GUUUUGCAAAAUCAGUAUUUCCCUACUCUACAUCCACAUGGUUCGAGUAGGCCAACCUACCACAGGCUCUUCCCUAAACAUUAAACAUUGACCUGAAGACUAAAAAUGACUCCAACUGAUUUACGCUGGUGGAUGCACACUCGAAAAACUAGCUCCACCAUCCCUGGAUUCUGCCCAUACUGGGGACAACAUUAGAGAAUGGUCUAUAUGGAAUACACAAUACCAAUGGAAAUAUUCCCUCCCUAAGCAGAAGACUGAAGCACUUUUCAAUUAUUUUUGCAGGGCACAGUGGCUCACACCUGUAAUCUCAGCACUUUGGGAGGCCGAGGUGGGCGGAUCACGAGUUCAGGAGUUGGAGACCAGCCUGACCAACAUGGUGAAAACCCGUCUCUACUAAAAAUACAAAAAUUAGCUGUGCGUGGUGGCGCACACCUAGAGUCCCAGCUACUCAGGAGGCUGAGGCAGGAGAAUUGCUUGAACCACAGAGGCGGAGGUUGCAGUGAGCAGAGAUCACGCCAUUGCACUCCAGCCUGGGAGACAGAGCAAGACUCUGUCAAAAAAAAAAAAAAAGUUAUUUUUGUAAAGUAAACAGUUGUUUUAUACAAAAUUUAUUCAUAACCUAUUACAUUUUGCAAAUAAGUAGCUUAUGCACAUUCUUAAGUUAUAACAUCAAUACUAAAUAAUUAAGAAUGAGUAGCUAAGGAAAUUGGAAUAAAUUUCCUUAGAAAGUAGAACAUAUUUUUAAAGGUAAUGUAUGACAGAAUUCUUUGUAUAUGUCAGGAUUCUCUUAAUUGUUACCAGAAAAGCAGCUCAAGCUAAGUUAUUUAUAAAUGAGAGUUGCUAUAGAACACCAAGGUAGCUCAGAAUAAAGAAGCCAUCAUUAUGAAACAUGAAGAUGAGAGCAACUCUGAAAUCAUCAGUUACUGGAUCGAGAGACAGGAACAGUUUUAAGAUUAUCUACAUUCAUAUUUUUUCUUCUUCAUUAAAAAAAAUUAUUCUUAAUUGACAAAUAAUAAUUGUAUAUUGUUAUGGGGUAAAAUGUGAUUUUUGUUCUAUGUAUUCAUUGUAGAAGUUUAAUCAAGCUAAUUAAUAUCCUAUCACCUAAUUUGUCAUUUUUUGUGUUGAGAAUAUUAAAAAUUUAUACUUUCAGUAAUUUUGAAACAUACAAUAUAUUAUAAUUAACUGUGGUCACUGUGUGGUGCAAUAUAUCACUCAAACUUAUUCCUCUAGUCUAACUGAGACUUUGAACAUUUUGAAAACAUUUUCUCUUUCCCCAUCCCUCCUUCUUCCCUGACCAGCCUCUGGUAACCACCCUUCUAUUCUGUUUUUAUGAGAUUGACUUUCUUAGAUGACACAUGUAAAUGAAAUCAUACAGUAUUUUUCUUUCUGUACCUGGCUUAUUUAAUUUAGCAUAACAUCCUCCAGUUCCAUCCAUGUUGUUACAAAUGAUGGCAUUUCCUUCUGUUUUAAGUUUGUAUAAUACUCCAUUGUGUAUACAUAUCACAUUUUCUUUAUUUAUUCAUCUAUUGAUGGAUACUUAGGACACUUCCAUAUCUUGGCUACUGUAAACAAUGCUGAAAUAAAUAUAAGAAUGCAGAUAUCUAUUCAACAUACUAAUUUCAGUUCCUUUCACUGUAUACUCAGAGAUGGGAUUGCUGGGUCAUAUGGUAAUCCUAUUUUUAGUUUUCUGAGAAAUCUCCAUAAUACCAAAAUAGCUGUACUAAGUUACAUUUCCACCAACAGUGUACAAGAGUUCCCUAUUUUCCACAUCCUUGCCAACACUUGUUAUCAUUUGUCAUUUUUCUAAUAGAAAUUCUAACAGAUGUGAGUUGGUAUCUCAUUGUGGUUUUAAUUUACAUUUCCCUGAAUAUUAGAGAUAUUGAGCAUUUUCUCAUACAGCUGUUGGCCAUAUCUCUAUUUUUUGAGAUGUCUGUUCAGUUCCUUUGCCAACUUUUUAGUUGGGUUAUUUGUUUCUUUCCUGUUGAGUUGUUUGAGUUCCUUAUAUAUUUUAGAUAUUAGCCCCUUGUUAAAUGUAUGCUUUGUAAAUAUUUUCUCCCAAUUUGCGGUUGUCUCUUUAUUCUCUUUUCUUGAUUUUUUUUCCUAUGGCUAUAGUGAUUUCCAUGUAAUAGGGGAAUGGUUUUAGUUGGCCAAGAGUUUACAAACUCAUAAACAAACAACUAGAAAGCAAAGGUAAUUUCCUUACAGGACAAAUUAAAACAAAAUUAGAGAAAGACUCUGGCUCAGGUUGUGUCAUACAGCCAGCCAUAAAUCCAUCACUGUGGCUGUGGGGGUAAAAUGCUAAUAUUAGCUACUUUGAGUCAGAUAUUUCAGUAAUUUCCCCUGGUGUCACAUGACCUAUCCCCACAUCCCAUUCCCUUGCCAGCUCUGAUUUCAGCUGCAGCAACAUUAGACAAUGCUUUGAAAGUUCAGACUUAUUCUGGAACUAUUUCACCUCAACCUAAAUCCAGCUGUUAUUCUGCUUUCAUUCUCAGGGCCUUCAUGAAGCCAUAAGAGCCCAUGUACUUAAGAAGCCUGGUAAGAUAGGGAAGUCAAUGUUCCAGAGAGCAAUCCUCCAUCAGUGGACAAUGGGAACUGGGGAAGGGGAGCUUUUGAUAAUUCUGAGAAGCCCUAGUUUCCACAGUGGUAACCAGAUUAAUAAUGCACCUCUAUGUUGAUCUUUCCCUGUAUCAUUCUUGCCAUUCCCUCAUUCUGGCUUCAUGAUAAUGUCCCAAAUAAACUAUCCUUUCCCAGUUCUUAUCUCAGGCUCUGCUUUCAAGGGAACUCAAACUAAGAUGCCAUCACUUUAUCAAUUAUUUUAUCCAGGAAAUUUGUUUUCUCUUAUUUUUUCUUCUAAUCAAUUAUUUUAAUUUUUUUAAAAAUGCUGGUCCCCCUUUAUUCACCAACUUUAAAUUUUGGUAUGGUUUCCACAUCUUCUCUAUCUAUGCUGUCUGAAUAAAUUAUAUGCACUCUCAUGUCUUUACAAAUCAUCUGUAAAUUUGGUGAUUACAAAUUUAUAUUUCCAAUUGAGACUUAUUCCUUGUAUUAGACUUUUUACCCAAAUGACUACUAAAAUUGCUUGACAGUCUAUUAGGCAUCUUAGAAUUAGCAUGUCCAAAGAAAAACUCUCAAUACUCGUUCCAAACGUGCUCUUUUCACAGUCUCCCCAACUCAAUACAUGCCAACUCCAUUAUACCAGUUAUUCAGGCUCCAAAGCUGGUGUGGUCCUUGAAACAUCUUUCUUUCACUUUCUACAUUGAAUCAAUCACCAAAUUUCAAAAUAUACCUAAGAUUCAAUUACAUCUUACCACCUUUACUUCUAGCAGCUUGGAGAAUUUCAGUAGUAUCUUAAGUGAUCUCCAUUCUCCACCAUUGCACUUCUAAAGACUCUUCUCCAAACAGCACUGAGAAUGAUCCUUAGAAACAUACAUCAAAUGUUAACAUUCUAUCAUUCAACACGUUCCAACAGUUUACUAUAGCAUUCAGAGGAAAAGCUAAAGUCUUCAUAAAAUUAUACAUAAUCUGAAAGUUUUUCUUCUAUUACUGUCACCUACUUCACUUCAUUCUAGCCACAUUGACUUCUUUGCUUUACUUGAAUAAGCCAAGCAUAUUUUCCCAAAAAUCCCCACAGUUCAAACCUUUUCUUCCUAUAGGUUCCUACUCAUGUCACCUAAUCAGAGAGGACUUUCAUGAAUACCAUGUAUAAAAUAUUCCUUUAAUACGUCUCUCCAUAUUCCUUUCACCUCUUUAGUAAAUGUCAUUGUACAUAAUACCAGUUGAAAAAUACAUUUUUUCUUUGUUUGUUGUCUUUCUUUCCUCUCUAGAUUUUAAGCUUUAUGAGGGGAAGGAAUUUUCCACUUUUUUUACCUCUAUAGUUACAACACCUCCAAGAGAGCUUGACAUGUAGUAGGCUCUCUACUUAUAUUUGAUGAGUGAAUGGAAGAAGAUGGAUGAAAGAAGAUAGUUCUAGUUCAGUUCAUGUGACUGAAUCAGUAAGUCAGAAGGGAGGAAAGGAAGUACUACUAAAUGAAACCUGAAACAUGAGUAAUUUGGGUAAUUAUUGGUAACCAAUGGGAGCAGAAUGGUGCCUUCCCCAUCCCCACUGGAAUACAAUAUAGCCCUUUACUGUUACUGGAAUUGAGUUACAAAUGUGAAUCUAUGUUUUUCAGGGACAAACACACACACACACAAUUAACAACAUCAGGGGGAUAAAAUAUAUGAGAGCUUUGUGAAAAGCACAACAAAUUUUGGUUUAAACAUGGAGAAAAUGUUUUUCUUUAGGCCUCAAAAAAGAGGAUAUUAUGUAAAAAACAGCCUCAAAAAUACAAUUACAGUAAAUAUAGCAAUAUCACUUUUUAUUUAUUAUGCCUAUGGUUUUAUAUGUAACAAGAAUGCAAUGUUUUCAAGAUACUUUAUUUUUUAUAGUUUUUGAUGUUUUUUAAAAAAAUGUAUUCUUGAUAAUUCAUCUGAAUUGAAAAUUGAUCAUUUGAUAGACAAAUAUUACAGAGGAAACCCAGUGGUUAAUGACAAUUGAAUGUACUACAGAAUCUAUUAUAACUUUCAAAAAUUGUAAUUUAAAAAUAAAUCUUCCUUUAUAAUAUCUUUAUAUUCCCCACAUCAAAAUGCUGCAAUCAACCCAUUGUAUCAUUAUGAAAACUGGAUUAAAAUCCAUCCAUCUUUUUUAUUACAAUUCUGAAGUGUUUCUCAAAUCAAGGAAAAUUUAAUAAAUCUUUUCAGGACUUAAUAAAAGAACAGAAGAUUUAUAUAUCUAAUAAAAAAUGCAUUCAGUUCCAAUGGUUUUAUUUAAUUUGUUUUCAUAUGUCUUCUUAUCACCUAUUAGAUAUCAUUUUGUUUCUCAAAAUCCAGAGUGGAAAUCACUUCUAAAAUAAUUUUUAUAGAAAAAAAUAUAGAUUACUCAGGUAUUCCAUAUGUCUGUCCUUUAAAAAAUGUGGAAGAUUUGAGAGUAGCUUGCACAAUCAGAGGACAUCAGGGGAGGGUCUAUUUGGCUAUUGAACUUCAGAUCAAUUUUGCGAUUUUAACACUGUUUUUUUCAUAACUCAUACAGAUUUCCUCUAGAGAGUUUCAGAGAAUGAAGAAGAGUUAAAAUUAAGCAUUUUGACAUGCAUUUGAAAUUCAUUUCUGUAGCUAAACUACAGAAUCCAAGCCUCCUCUUCUUUUUGUUUUCAAUAGCAAAGAGGCUACCUUACUGAUGAAUAUUUCAUAACAUGUCAAAUUGUGUUGUAAUCCUUCUUUUCUCAAGGAGAAAUAAGUGUAGGUCUCAUUUAAAAGCUCUUUUGAGUAUUUAUAGCUCAUCAAUUAAGAAUUAAGAGCAAUUAAAGAGGAAUCUGUAAGGUUAACAAUUUGCUGAUAAUUAGAAUAUGCCUAUUCCGAAUAUAAGAAUCUGAGGAUUUGAAUAAUGGGGGUGGCUUUGUCUCCUGAAGAUAAUAUUGGAUGAUGAUGGUAAUAUUAAUUUCCUUUAACAAAGUAUGCCCUUCCUUUGAGGACCAGAAGAGAAGUUUUAAAACUGAUAUGGAGCACAAAAUAAAUGAGAACUCAGCACUGGCAUAAGCUUUCUUAAGCCACAUGAGUACUUCAUUACAGCACUUACCAAGAGCACUAUGCGAUGACUACACCAGAGCAGACUAGAAACCUUUACUCUAGACCCUCUCUCAUUUAACUAAUUAUGUGACCUUGCACAAACUCCUUAACAGUUUGGAGUCUCAUUUUUUUAUUUUUAUAAAAUACCAGGAACUUUCAC
This 5755-nucleotide long non-coding RNA is filed under the name Homo sapiens (human). Its description in RNAcentral is "HSALNT0210428". Lineage: Eukaryota; Metazoa; Chordata; Mammalia; Primates; Hominidae. The record is from RNAcentral.